AGAGUUUGAUCCCGGCUCAGAAUCAACGCUGGCGGCGCGCUUAACACAUGCAAGUCGAGCGAGAAAGGGGGGCAACUCCUGAGUACAGCGGCGUACGGGUGAGUAACACGUGGGUAAUCUACCUCUUAGUGGGGAAUAACGCUGGGAAACCGGCGCUAAUACCGCAUGAGCCUGAGAAGGGAAAGCGGCCUUUGUGAAAACAAAGCCGCGCUGAGAGAGGAGCCCGCGGCCGAUUAGCUAGUUGGUGAGGUAACGGCCCACCAAGGCAAAGAUCGGUAGCCGGCCUGAGAGGGCACACGGCCACACUGGCACUGAAACACGGGCCAGACUCCUACGGGAGGCAGCAGUGGGGAAUCUUGCACAAUGGGGGAAACCCUGAUGCAGCGACGCCGCGUGAGCGAUGAAGCCCUUCGGGGUGUAAAGCUCUUUCGGCAGGGAAGAUUAUGACGGUACCUGCAGAAGCAGCUGCGGCUAACUACGUGCCAGCAGCCGCGGUAAUACGUAGGCAGCGAGCGUUGUUCGGAGUUACUGGGCGUAAAGGGUGUGUAGGCGGUUCUUUAAGUUUGGUGUGAAAUCUCCCGGCUCAACUGGGAGGGUGCGCCGAAUACUGAGGGACUAGAGUGCGGGAGAGGAAAGUGGAAUUCCUGGUGUAGCGGUGAAAUGCGUAGAUAUCAGGAGGAACACCGGUGGUGUAAACGGCUUUCUGGACCGUAACUGACGCUGAGACACGAAAGCGUGGGUAGCAAACAGGAUUAGAUACCCUGGUAGUCCACGCCCUAAACGAUGCAUAUUUGGUGUGGGUCAUUCAGUUGAUCCGUGCCGGAGCUAACGCGUUAAAUAUGCCGCCUGGGGAGUACAGUCGCAAGGCUGAAACUCAAAGGAAUUGACGGGGGCCCGCACAAGCGGUGGAGCAUGUGGUUCAAUUCGACGCAACGCGAAGAACCUUACCUGGGCUCGAACGGCUGGUUAACGACUUUGGAAACAGAGUUACUCCGCAAGGAGGUCCAGUCGAGGUGCUGCAUGGCUGUCGUCAGCUCGUGUCGUGAGAUGUUGGGUUAAGUCCCGCAACGAGCGCAACCCUCGUCCUGUGUUGCCAUGGGAGCAAUCCCGGAACUCGCAGGAGACCGCCAGCGAUAAGUUGGAGGAAGGUGGGGAUGACGUCAAGUCCUCAUGGCCUUUAUGUCCAGGGCUACACACGUGCUACAAUGGCCGGUACAAUCCGUCGCUAACCCGCGAGGGGGAGCCAAUCGGAAAAAACCGGUCUCAGUUCGGAUUGCAGGCUGCAACUCGCCUGCAUGAAGCUGGAAUCGCUAGUAAUGGCAGAUCAGCACGCUGCCGUGAAUACGUUCCCGGGCCUUGUACACACCGCCCGUCACAUCACGAAAGUGGAUUGUACUAGAAGUCUGCAGGCCGACCGGCUUUUUGAAAGAAGAGCUGGGGGCAGCGGCCCAAGGUAUGAUCCAUGAUUGGGGUGAAGUCGUAACAAGGUA
This 1490-nucleotide ribosomal RNA is filed under the name metagenome. Its description in RNAcentral is "bacterial SSU rRNA". It matches the Rfam family "Bacterial small subunit ribosomal RNA". The record is from RNAcentral.